GCUAGGCACAGUGGCACAUGCCUGUGAUCCCAGCAGCUCGGGAGGCUGAGGCAGGAGGAUCAUGAGUUCAAAGCCAGCCUCAGCAAAAGCAAGGUGCUAAGCAACUCAGUGAGACCCUGUCUCUA
This 125-nucleotide small RNA is filed under the name Marmota monax (woodchuck). Lineage: Eukaryota; Metazoa; Chordata; Mammalia; Rodentia; Sciuridae. The record is from RNAcentral.